CCGGAUCUGCGGUGGGUACGGGCAGACUAGAGUGCAGUAGGGGAGACUGGAAUUCCUGGUGUAGCGGUGGAAUGCGCAGAUAUCAGGAGGAACACCGAUGGCGAAGGCAGGUCUCUGGGCUGUAACUGACGCUGAGGAGCGAAAGCAUGGGGAGCGAACAGGAUUAGAUACCCUGGUAGUCCAUGCCGUAAACGUUGGGCACUAGGUGUGGGGACCAUUCCACGGUUUCCGCGCCGCAGCUAACGCAUUAAGUGCCCCGCCUGGGGAGUACGGCCGCAAGGCUAAAACUCAAAGGAAUUGACGGGGGCCCGCACAAGCGGCGGAGCAUGCAGGAUUAAUUCGAUGCAACGCGAAGAACCUUACCAAGGCUUGACAUGUUCUCGAUCGCCGUAGAGAUACGGUUUCCCCUUUGGGGCGGGUUCACAGGUUGGUGCAUGGUUGUCGUCAGCUCGUGUCGUGAGAUGUUGGGUUAAGUCCCGCAANGAGCGCAACCCUCGUUCCAUGUUGCCAGCACGUAAUGGUGGGGACUCAUUGGGAGACUGCCGGGGUCAACUCGGAGGAAGGUGAGGACGACGUCAAAUCAUCAUUGCCCCUUAUGUCUUGGGCUUCACGCAUGCUACAAUGGCCGGUACAAUGGGUUGCGAUACUGUGAGGUGGAGCUAAUCCCAAAAAGCCGGUCUCAGUUCGGAUUGGGGUCUGCAACUCGACCCCAUGAAGUCGGAGUCGCUAGUAAUCGCAGAUCAGCAACGUUGCGGUGAAUACGUUCCCGGGCCUUGUACACACCG
Molecule: ribosomal RNA, 785 nt
Filed under: Micrococcus sp. MOLA 334
Lineage: Bacteria; Bacillati; Actinomycetota; Actinomycetes; Micrococcales; Micrococcaceae
Description: bacterial SSU rRNA
Rfam family: Bacterial small subunit ribosomal RNA
Source: RNAcentral